This 482-nucleotide ribosomal RNA is filed under the name uncultured bacterium. RNAcentral describes it as "SSU rRNA". It matches the Rfam family "Bacterial small subunit ribosomal RNA", at positions 26 to 523 of the family's 1533-position model. The record is from RNAcentral.
AGGACGAACGCUGGCGGCGUGCUUAACACAUGCAAGUCGAGCGAGGCCCUUCCUUCGGGAAGGUGCCCUAGCGGCGAACGGGUGAGUAACACGUGGGCAACCUGCCCCUAGCACUGGGAUAACUCCGGGAAACCGGGGCUAAUACCAGAUAUGACCUUCUUGGGCAUCCUCGAAGGUGUAAAGGAUUCUGGCUAGGGAUGGGCCCGCGGCCUAUCAGCUUGUUGGUGGGGUAAUGGCCUACCAAGGCGACGACGGGUAGCCGGCCUGAGAGGGUGACCGGCCACACUGGGACUGAGACACGGCCCAGACUCCUACGGGAGGCAGCAGUGGGGAAUCUUGCACAAUGGGCGAAAGCCUGAUGCAGCGACGCCGCGUGAGGGAUGAAUGCCUUCGGGUUGUAAACCUCUUUCAGCAGGGACGAAGCGAAAGUGACGGUACCUGCAGAGAAGCACCGGCCAACUACGCGCCAGCAGCCGCGGUAA